UACGGGGGGGGCAAGCGUUGUCCGGAAUUACUGGGCGUAAAGAGCUCGUAGGCGGUGUGUCGCGUCGGCCGUGAAAACCUGCAGCUUAACUGUGGGCUUGCGGUCGAUACGGGCAUCACUGGAGUUCGGCAGGGGAGACUGGAAUUCCUGGUGUAGCGGUGGAAUGCGCAGAUAUCAGGAGGAACACCGAUGGCGAAGGCAGGUCACUGGGCCGCAACUGACGCUGAGGAGCGAAAGCAUGGGGAGCGAACAGG
Molecule: ribosomal RNA, 254 nt
Filed under: uncultured bacterium
Lineage: Bacteria
Description: partial 16S ribosomal RNA
Rfam family: Bacterial small subunit ribosomal RNA
Source: RNAcentral